GGAUUUGCGCAUCGGUCGUGCCUCACGGGGUAUGAACUGGUGCAGUCAAUUUCUCACCUUCUGGAGAACCGCGAUGUCCUUAAUUGGAUGCCGCGGGGAACCAGGACCUUUACUUUGAAAAAAUUAGAGUGUUUAAAGCAGGCAUUUUUGCUUGAAUACAUUAGCAUGGAAUAAUAAAAUAGGACGGCAUGGUUCUAUUUUGUUGGUUUCUAGGACCACCGUAAUGAUUAAUAGGGAUAGUUGGG
This 245-nucleotide ribosomal RNA is filed under the name uncultured Glomeromycotina. Its description in RNAcentral is "partial small subunit ribosomal RNA". The stretch from base 31 to 245 matches the Rfam family "Eukaryotic small subunit ribosomal RNA", at positions 673 to 886 of the family's 1831-position model. The record is from RNAcentral. Lineage: Eukaryota; Fungi; Glomeromycota.